This 292-nucleotide ribosomal RNA is filed under the name uncultured Planctomycetota bacterium. RNAcentral's name for it is "uncultured planctomycete partial 16S ribosomal RNA". Lineage: Bacteria; Pseudomonadati; Planctomycetota. The record is from RNAcentral.
GGACUACUGGGGUAUCUAAUCCCGUUUGCUCCCCUGGCUUUCGCGCCUCAGCGUCAGAAAAGGUCCAGUGCGCCGCUUUCGCCGCCGGCGUUCCUUCUGAUAUCAACGCAUUUCACCGCUCCACCAGAAGUUCCGCGCACCCCUACCUUCCUCCAGCCCGCCGGUAUCGAAGGCUCUUCCACGGUUAAGCCGUGGGAUUUCACCCCCGACCUCGCGAGCCGCCUACGCGCCCUUUAAGCCCAGUGAUUCCGAACAACGUUCGCACGGUUCGUCUUACCGCGGCUGCUGGCAC